Molecule: non-coding RNA, 93 nt
Filed under: human gut metagenome
Description: THF riboswitch
Rfam family: THF (Tetrahydrofolate) riboswitch aptamer
About the family: THF riboswitch presents a pseudoknot that joins P1-P2 and the loop of P3 and two THF binding.
Source: RNAcentral
CAGAGUAGAUCUGCAAGCGUUAAGUGUCGCGUGAACGGGGAGUUGUCGCGCGAACGAAAAGUUUUCUUGCGAUGAGCAGAUCGCAUCCCGCUG